CAGAAACCAGAGAUUUGUUGUUGCUGAGUAGUGCAGUCGGCAGAGCUCGAGCCGCUAUUGGCCUAGGUUGGAUUUCUUUUAGUGAUUCCUGAACAGAUGAUGUGCCUACAACCAUAUGGCAGACCUCGGGGUCCUCCUUUGUGCUGUGACUGAUGUGACUCCCAUCAACUUUAAAGGGCCUCACUUUAAAAGCACGCCCCCCCCCCCCUCACCCUGCUAAACCCCACCUUCCUCUUCCUCUGCUGCUGCUUAUCUGCAGGAUCAAUGGGGAGUCAACUCUACGUCGAUCUGGCAAAGUGUGCCCUUCGUUUUGUAUACAGCCUCCCUCCUCCUCUUCUCCACCCCUCCAGCCGUGCAGCCUGUCCACUCACAGCGCCAGACUUUGUUUUUUGGUGAAAAGGACCGGCUCAAAUGUCCCAUGCAGCCAGCAGCAGCUGCUCCUGGACCUCGCCAUUCUUCAGCACAAAAGAGGAGAGAGGGCCCAGGUCUCGCUGCACCUUUGUUUGGGGCCCCUCCUGUCGUUUUCUGCUCUUUGUGUCCAUUGAUGGGGGCGUAGACGUGUUGGCUGUAGCUUUUUUUUUCUUUCUUUUUUGCCAGAGUUUUGUUUUGGUGUGGGUGUGCAGUGGGUGGAGGUGCGGCACAGGCACAUUUAGCCAUCUGAUCUUCCUCCUCUGCAGCAUACAAGGAUACGGGCCACUGCUGUGUCACUCAAAUCUGGCCUCUAAUCUACAUUAUUACAUAAAUUAUGGUGGCUUUGGACUCAUUUCAGUGUUGAAAUUCUGCCAUGUUGUCUGUAAGGCUAAAUGCAUACACAGCAAUUUGCCGUGUUGAACCAGCAGCAGCUGAGCCAGGCCCUCGAGGGCCUCAACGCUCAAUGGAGAAACAGACCCGUGUUUUGGCAACAGCUGGCAGCGCUUCAGCUCUCUGAGUCCACUUUAUCUUAACAAGCUGCAACGCUGGACAAAACAGAUAAUCUCUUUGUCUUCAUAUUUACUUAUAAACACUCUUGUUACCCGAAAGAUGAAAUUGUCAUGCAAACAAAUGUAUUUUCACUGAUUUCUAAUUAACUUGUAAAAUUGCUGAAGUUUUCUCUGUUACAAAUACAAACGAGCUUUGGUUUGCUUCUUUAGAUGGUGGCGUGUUUACACCGGAUCUUUGUG
This is a long non-coding RNA of Astatotilapia calliptera (eastern happy), 1160 nucleotides long. NCBI's taxonomy places the organism in Eukaryota, Metazoa, Chordata, Actinopteri, Cichliformes, Cichlidae. The record is from Ensembl.